Molecule: ribosomal RNA, 1651 nt
Filed under: human gut metagenome
Description: bacterial LSU rRNA
Rfam family: Bacterial large subunit ribosomal RNA
Source: RNAcentral
AGAUAGCUGGUUCUCCCCGAAAUAGCUUUAGGGCUAGCCUCGAGGUAGAGAUUGCAGGCGGUAGAGCACUGAUCAGGAGAGGGGCCUACCCGGCUACCAAACCCAGUCAAACUACGAAUGGCUGCAAUUAUACUCGGGAGUCAGACUACGACUUAUAAGGGCCGUGGUCAAAAGGGAAACAGCCCAGAUCAUCAGCUAAGGUCCCAAAUGCCGUGCUAAGUGGCGAAGGAUGUGGCGUUUCAUAAACAACCAGGAUGUUGGCUCAGAAGCAGCCACCAUUUAAAGAGUGCGUAAUAGCUCACUGGUCGAGAGACGCUGCGCCGAAAAUGUCCGGGGCUCAAGCACGGAACCGAAGCUAUGGCAUUGACUAUGUCAAUGGGUAGGGGAGCGUUCUUAACAGGAAGAAGCAUGACCGGAAGGACAUGUGGACCGUUAAGAAGUGAGAAUGCCGGUAUGAGUAUCGAAAAGAAAGGUGAGAAUCCUUUCCACCGAAAGCCCGAGGGUUCCUGAGCAACGAUCGUCGUCUCAGGGUAAGUCGGGACCUAAGCCGAGGCGGAGACGCAUAGGCGAUGGACAACAGGUUGAAAUUCCUGUACCGGAUACAAUCGUUUGAGCGAUGGAGCGACGCAGAAAGGCAUAUGAUCGCGCGACUGGAAGAGCGCGUCCAAGUGCGUAUGUUGAAUCGGAGGCAAAUCCCUGAUUCUGAAAGCAGAGACACGAUGGGGAGUUAUACGAAAGUAUGACGAACUCAUAGAUCCUACACUGCCAAGAAAAACUUCUAGUGAGAAAGUAUCCGCCCGUACCGUAAACCGACACAGGUAGGCGGGGAGAGAAUCCUAAGGUGCGCGGGAAAACCCUCGUUAAGGAACUCGGCAAAUUGCAUCCGUAACUUAGGGAGAAGGAUGACCUUAAGUAAGCGAAAGGGAGAAACCCCUGGAACAGAACAAGGUGGCAGAAAAGAGGCCCAAGCAACUGUUUACCAAAAACACAGGUGCCUGCGAAAGCGAAAGCUGAAGUAUAGGUGCUGACGCCUGCCCGGUGCUGGAAGGUUAAGGAGAGAUGUCAGAGCAAUCGAAGCAUUGAACUGAAGCCCCAGUGAACGGCGGCCGUAACUAUAACGGUCCUAAGGUAGCGAAAUUCCUUGUCGGGUAAGUUCCGACCCGCAUGAAAGGCGUAAUGAUUUGGGCACUGUCUCAACGAGGGGCCCGGUGAAAUUGAAAUACCUGUGAAGAUGCAGGUUACCCGCGACUGGACAGAAAGACCCCAUGGAGCUUCACUGCAGCUUGAGAUUGAAUCUCGGUGAUGCAUGCACAGGAUAGGUGGGAGACUUUGAAGUAUGGGCUUUGGCUUAUACCGAGUCGAUGUUGGGAUACCACCCUUGUAUUGCUGAGAUUCUAACACGGAGGCUAACAACCUCGUGGACCAUCUCAGGUAGGCGGUUUGACUGGGGCGGUCGCCUCCGAAAGAGUAACGGAGGCGCCCAAAGGUUCCCUCAGGUCGGACAGAAACCGACCGAAGAGUGCAAAGGCAGAAGGGAGCUUGACUGCGAGACAGACAAGUCGAGCAGAGACGAAAGUCGGGCUUAGUGAUCCGGUGGUACUGUGUGGAAAGGCCAUCGCUCAACGGAUAAAAGCUACCCUGGGGAUAACAG